This 29-nucleotide small RNA is filed under the name Bombyx mori (domestic silkworm). RNAcentral's name for it is "ovarian small RNA-8874". Lineage: Eukaryota; Metazoa; Arthropoda; Insecta; Lepidoptera; Bombycidae. The record is from RNAcentral.
UGUAAAUUGUCUCCUAUGGUGGUCAUCUU